UAGCGCCAGAACCUAAAAUGGUUGACGAGGUUGAUAGUUAUCGAAAUAUUCGGCGGAUGCUAUCACGGUGAGAAUCGUUAAAUAUAUGACAAAACAUAAAAUUAAUCUUAUGGACAAAACAUAU
This 124-nucleotide non-coding RNA is filed under the name chicken gut metagenome. Its description in RNAcentral is "glmS glucosamine-6-phosphate activated ribozyme". It matches the Rfam family "glmS glucosamine-6-phosphate activated ribozyme aptamer", at positions 11 to 154 of the family's 167-position model. Rfam says of the family: This entry contains a glucosamine-6-phosphate activated ribozyme that is found in the mRNA for GlmS. GlmS is an enzyme that uses fructose-6-phosphate and glutamine to generate glucosamine-6-phosphate. The record is from RNAcentral.